AUUUAAAGUCUGGCCUGCCCUAUGAAAAUUUAAAUGGCCGCAGUAUUUUGACUGUGCAAAGGUAGCAUAAUAAUUAGUUUUUUAAUUGAAAGCUGGAAUGAAAGGUUGAACGAAAAAAUAUCUGUCUCAAUUUAAUUUAAUUAGAAUUUUAUUUUUUAGUAAAAAAGCUAAAAUAAAUUUUAAAGACGAGAAGACCCUAUAGAGUUUUAUAUUUAUUAUUAUAUAUUUUAUAGAAUUUUUUUAUAAUUUGCGAUAUUUUAUUGGGGUGAUAAAUAAAUUUAAAUAACUUUAUUGAUUUUUUACAUUAAUAUAUGAUUAAUUGAUCCAUAUAAAUGAUUAUAGAUUAAAUUACCUUAGGGAUAACAGCGUUAUUUUUUUUUAGAGUUCUUAUCGAAAAAAAAGAUUGCGACCUCGAUGUUGGAUUAAAAUUUAUUUAUGGUGUAGAAGCUAUAAUAUUAGGUCUGUUCGACCUUUAAAAUUUUACAUGAUCUGAGUUUAAACCGGUGUGAGCCAGGUUGGUUUCUAUCUUAAAAUAAAUAAAAUAUUUUAGUACGAAAGGACCAAAUAUUUGUAAAUUUUACUUAAUUUUGAAUAC
Molecule: ribosomal RNA, 595 nt
Filed under: Limnebius hispanicus
Lineage: Eukaryota; Metazoa; Arthropoda; Insecta; Coleoptera; Hydraenidae
Description: partial 16S ribosomal RNA
Rfam family: Bacterial large subunit ribosomal RNA
Source: RNAcentral